AGGUGACCUGCGGAAGGAUCAUUAACGAGUUAGGGUCUCUCUGGCCCGACCUCCCAACCCUUUGUCUACUUGACCAUCGUUGCUUCGGCGAGCCCGUCCUCACGGACCGCCGGAGGGAUCUUUACUGGCCCUCUGGUCCGCGCUCGUCGGUAGCCCAACCUUUAAAAUCUUUAACUAAACGUGCCUUAAUCUAAGUACAAUUAUUAAAUAAAAGCAAAACUUUCAACAACGGAUCUCUUGGUUCUGGCAUCGAUGAAGAACGCAGCGAAAUGCGAUAAGUAAUGCGAAUUGCAGAAUUCCAGUGAGUCAUCGAAUCUUUGAACGCACAUUGCGCCCUUUGGUAUUCCGAAGGGCAUGCCUGUUCGAGCGUCAUUAUCACCCCUCAAGCCCUCGGCUUGGUGUUGGACGGUUUGGUGGAGGCCCCCUCGGGGGCUCCUGCCCCUCCCAAAGACAAUGACGGCGGCCUCGUUGGACCCCCGGUACACUGAGUUCUUCACGGGACACGUAUCGGACACAUGGGUUUACGGGACACGGUCUGCCUCCCCUCAGGGAGAAUCUUUCUAAGGUUGACCUCGGAUCAGGUAGGGAUACCCGCUGAACUUAAGCAUAUCAAUAAGCGGAGGAAAAGAAACCAACAGGGAUUGCCUCAGUAACGGCGAGUGAAGCGGCAACAGCUCAAAUUUGAAAUCUGGCCUCUUUGGGGUCCGAGU
Molecule: ribosomal RNA, 710 nt
Filed under: fungal sp.
Lineage: Eukaryota; Fungi
Description: eukaryotic LSU rRNA
Rfam family: 5.8S ribosomal RNA (bases 218-372)
Source: RNAcentral